GUAGCAUUCACGGAAUGGCCAAAGUCCCUCACAUUGACCAUAUGUGAAUGACAACAUCUUACAUUCACUAUCGCAUUUGUCACAUGAAUCAACAUAGUGUUUAUAGCUGCAUAAAGUCCCCAACGACACUCCUUCUGAGGCAUCUUAAACCCAUAAAAGAAAAGAACAAAAUUGUGAAUACUUUGUUAGACAAGUACUCUCAAUAAAUCAGAUGUUUUCGGUUGCACUCGUUGUCGUUAAGCUCUAGUUACCUUGAAUUGAGAUGAUUGGCUGCUGGAUGAACGGUCCAUAUCGUCUAGAUGGUGCCUCAUUAGUAGCCAAAACAUUUUAUCCUCUGUAAGAGGCAUCAGGUCGUGCUUUUCGACUAUCUCAGCUUUGGUUACAUCUACUCAAUUGUAAUGUUAAUGUUAUAGAGCAAUGAUAUAUGAUGAUAGAUAUCAAACAAUAUCGUAUAUUUUAUGUUUUGUGCUACAUAUUGUGAAUAUCUUUAUCUAAUGUUUUUAUUCAAUUCCGAUCUUUUGCAAGUUAAAUAUAUAUGCUUUAUCACCAUCAAUAUACAAAAAUACAUAGGAAUAAUUAAGAAAUUAAUAUAAGAAAAAUGGUACCUAUUGCAGGAGAUAGAACACUGAAAACAAUUGUGAAAAUUAAAGCAAGAGUCACCAUAUCCUUAGCCAUAAUCUGAUAUCUCUGUUUAGGUCUUGCUUGAUCUUGUUGGAACCAACCAGCUCUAAAGGUUAAUAUUAAUACUGAAAAGGAAAAUGGAAACAAAAAUGUGGACACACACAUAUAUAGAGAAAAACAAAAUAGAAGAUAAGAGAGGCUUACACUGGCCACAAGUGCUUACUGCUUUUGGCUCUUCAUUUCAGCAUCACACAAAAGUUGGUUACUUUGCA
This 893-nucleotide long non-coding RNA is filed under the name Capsella grandiflora. Its description in RNAcentral is "long non-coding RNA (CGRA_LNC001656)". Lineage: Eukaryota; Viridiplantae; Streptophyta; Magnoliopsida; Brassicales; Brassicaceae. The record is from RNAcentral.